This is a small nucleolar RNA of Humulus lupulus (European hop), 107 nucleotides long. The record is from RefSeq and is a predicted model, not a curated record. Lineage: Eukaryota; Viridiplantae; Streptophyta; Magnoliopsida; Rosales; Cannabaceae.
AUUCCGUGAUGCGGGCACUUUCUUAUCAAUUCUUUGAAUCUCUCCCAAGCUUCAUAAAGAGACUCAUUAUCCAACUGAGAAAAAUUAUUGAUCUCUCCUCUCAACUU